GAUGAACGCUAGCUACAGGCUUAACACAUGCAAGUCGAGGGGAAACGACAUCGAAAGCUUGCUUUUGAUGGGCGUCGACCGGCGCACGGGUGAGUAACGCGUAUCCAACCUGCCCACCACUUGGGGAUAACCUUGCGAAAGUAAGACUAAUACCCAAUGACGUCUCUAGAAGACAUCUGAAAGAGAUUAAAGAUUUAUCGGUGAUGGAUGGGGAUGCGUCUGAUUAGCUUGUUGGCGGGGUAACGGCCCACCAAGGCGACGAUCAGUAGGGGUUCUGAGAGGAAGGUCCCCCACAUUGGAACUGAGACACGGUCCAAACUCCUACGGGAGGCAGCAGUGAGGAAUAUUGGUCAAUGGGCGAGAGCCUGAACCAGCCAAGUAGCGUGCAGGAUGACGGCCCUAUGGGUUGUAAACUGCUUUAUAAGGGAAUAAAGUGAGCCUCGUGAGACUUUUUGCAUGUACCUUAUGAAUAAGGACCGGCUAAUUCCGUG
RNAcentral lists this ribosomal RNA (491 nucleotides) under uncultured bacterium. Its description in RNAcentral is "bacterial SSU rRNA". It matches the Rfam family "Bacterial small subunit ribosomal RNA", at positions 28 to 507 of the family's 1533-position model. The record is from RNAcentral.